RNAcentral lists this ribosomal RNA (497 nucleotides) under uncultured bacterium. Its description in RNAcentral is "partial 16S ribosomal RNA". It matches the Rfam family "Bacterial small subunit ribosomal RNA", at positions 28 to 507 of the family's 1533-position model. The record is from RNAcentral.
GAUGAACGCUGGCGGCGUGCCUAAUACAUGCAAGUCGAGCGAACGGACGAGAAGCUUGCUUCUCUGAUGUUAGCGGCGGACGGGUGAGUAACACGUGGAUAACCUACCUAUAAGACUGGGAUAACUUCGGGAAACCGGAGCUAAUACCGGAUAAUAUUUUGAACCGCAUGGUUCAAAAGUGAAAGACGGUCUUGCUGUCACUUAUAGAUGGAUCCGCGCUGCAUUAGCUAGUUGGUAAGGUAACGGCUUACCAAGGCAACGAUGCAUAGCCGACCUGAGAGGGUGAUCGGCCACACUGGAACUGAGACACGGUCCAGACUCCUACGGGAGGCAGCAGUAGGGAAUCUUCCGCAAUGGGCGGAAGCCUGACGGAGCAACGCCGCGUGAGUGAUGAAGGUCUUCGGAUCGUAAAACUCUGUUAUUAGGGAAGAACAUAUGUGUAAGUAACUGUGCACAUCUUGACGGCACCUAAUCAGAAAGCCACGGCUAACUACGUG